UGCAAGUCGAACGCGUUGGCCCAAUUGAUUGAUGGUGCUUGCACCUGAUUGAUUUUGGUCGCCAACGAGUGGCGGACGGGUGAGUAACACGUAGGUAACCUGCCCAGAAGCGGGGGACAACAUUUGGAAACAGAUGCUAAUACCGCAUAACAGCGUUGUUCGCAUGAACAACGCUUAAAAGAUGGCUUCUUGCUAUCACUUCUGGAUGGACCUGCGGUGCAUUAGCUUGUUGGUGGGGUAACGGCCUACCAAGGCGAUGAUGCAUAGCCGAGUUGAGAGACUGAUCGGCCACAAUGGGACUGAGACACGGCCCAUACUCCUACGGGAGGCAGCAGUAGGGAAUCUUCCACAAUGGGCGCAAGCCUGAUGGAGCAACACCGCGUGAGUGAAGAAGGGUUUCGGCUCGUAAAGCUCUGUUGUUAAAGAAGAACACGUAUGAGAGUAACUGUUCAUACGUUGACGGUAUUUAACCAGAAAGUCACGGCUAACUACGUGCCAGCAGCCGCGGUAAUACGUAGGUGGCAAGCGUUAUCCGGAUUUAUUGGGCGUAAAGAGAGUGCAGGCGGUUUUCUAAGUCUGAUGUGAAAGCCUUCGGCUUAACCGGAGAAGUGCAUCGGAAACUGGAUAACUUGAGUGCAGAAGAGGGUAGUGGAACUCCAUGUGUAGCGGUGGAAUGCGUAGAUAUAUGGAAGAACACCAGUGGCGAAGGCGGCUACCUGGUCUGCAACUGACGCUGAGACUCGAAAGCAUGGGUAGCGAACAGGAUUAGAUACCCUGGUAGUCCAUGCCGUAAACGAUGAGUGCUAGGUGUUGGAGGGUUUCCGCCCUUCAGUGCCGGAGCUAACGCAUUAAGCACUCCGCCUGGGGAGUACGACCGCAAGGUUGAAACUCAAAGGAAUUGACGGGGGCCCGCACAAGCGGUGGAGCAUGUGGUUUAAUUCGAAGCUACGCGAAGAACCUUACCAGGUCUUGACAUCUUGCGCCAACCCUAGAGAUAGGGCGUUUCCUUCGGGAACGCAAUGACAGGUGGUGCAUGGUCGUCGUCAGCUCGUGUCGUGAGAUGUUGGGUUAAGUCCCGCAACGAGCGCAACCCUUGUUACUAGUUGCCAGCAUUAAGUUGGGCACUCUAGUGAGACUGCCGGUGACAAACCGGAGGAAGGUGGGGACGACGUCAGAUCAUCAUGCCCCUUAUGACCUGGGCUACACACGUGCUACAAUGGACGGUACAACGAGUCGCGAACUCGCGAGGGCAAGCAAAUCUCUUAAAACCGUUCUCAGUUCGGACUGCAGGCUGCAACUCGCCUGCACGAAGUCGGAAUCGCUAGUAAUCGCGGAUCAGCAUGCCGCGGUGAAUACGUUCCCGGGCCUUGUACACACCGCCCGUCACACCAUGAGAGUUUGUAACACCCAAAGUCGGUGGGGUAACCUUUUAGGAGCCAGCCGCCUAA
RNAcentral lists this ribosomal RNA (1448 nucleotides) under Limosilactobacillus fermentum. RNAcentral describes it as "bacterial SSU rRNA". It matches the Rfam family "Bacterial small subunit ribosomal RNA". The record is from RNAcentral. Lineage: Bacteria; Bacillati; Bacillota; Bacilli; Lactobacillales; Lactobacillaceae.